UAGCGACCCCAGGUCAGGCG
This 20-nucleotide ribosomal RNA is filed under the name Eriandra fragrans. RNAcentral describes it as "partial 26S ribosomal RNA". RNAcentral also lists the same sequence under 1 other name. Lineage: Eukaryota; Viridiplantae; Streptophyta; Magnoliopsida; Fabales; Polygalaceae. The record is from RNAcentral.